CCUACGGGUGGUAGCAGUCGAGAAUCAUUCACAAUGGGGGAAACCCUGAUGGUGCGACGCCGCGUGGGGGAAUGAAGGUCUUCGGAUUUUAAACCCCUGUCAUGUGGGAGCAAAUUAAAAAGAUAGUACCACAAGAGCAAGCGACGGCUAACUCUGUGCCAGCAGCCGCGGUAAUACAGAGGUCUCAAGCGUUGUUAGGAAUCACUGGGCGUAACGCGAGCGUAGGCUGUUUCGUAAGUCGUGUGUGAAAGGCGGGGGCUCAACCCGCGGACGGACCAUGAAACGGUGAGACUAGAGUAAAGGAGGGGGAACGGGAAUUCUCGGUGUAGCAGUGAAAUGCGUAGAUAUCGAGAGGAACACUCGUGGCGAAGGCGGGUUCCUGGACAUUAACUGACGCUGAGGCACGAAGGCCAGGGGAGCGAAAGGGAUUAGAUACCCCAGUAGUC
This 446-nucleotide ribosomal RNA is filed under the name uncultured bacterium. Its description in RNAcentral is "partial 16S ribosomal RNA". It matches the Rfam family "Bacterial small subunit ribosomal RNA", at positions 338 to 795 of the family's 1533-position model. The record is from RNAcentral.